AAAGGAAGUUGACGGGGGCCCGCACAAGCGGUGGAGUAUGUGGUUUAACUCGAUGCAACGCGAAGAACCUUACCUGGUCUUGACAUCCCAGAAAUCCCUUGGAAACUUGGGAGUGCUUCCAUUAGGAAGAAUCUGGAGACAGGUGCUGCAUGGCUGUCGUCAGCUCGUGUCGUGAGAUGUUGGGUUAAGUCCCGCAACGAGCGCAACCCUUGCCUUUAGUUGCCAGCAGUUCGGCUGGGCACUCUAAAGGGACUGCCGGUGUUAAACCGGAGGAAGGUGGGGAUGACGUCAAGUCCUCAUGGCCUUUAUGACCAGGGCUACACACGUACUACAAUGGCCGAUACAAAGGGCAGCGACAUCGCGAGGUGAAGCCAAUCCCAUAAAAUCGGUCUCAGUCCGGAUUGGAGUCUGCAACUCGACUCCAUGAAGUUGGAAUCGCUAGUAAUCGUGGAUCAGCAUGCCACGGUGAAUACGUUCCCGGGCCUU
This 486-nucleotide ribosomal RNA is filed under the name uncultured Desulfobulbus sp. Its description in RNAcentral is "bacterial SSU rRNA". It matches the Rfam family "Bacterial small subunit ribosomal RNA", at positions 903 to 1382 of the family's 1533-position model. The record is from RNAcentral. Lineage: Bacteria; Pseudomonadati; Thermodesulfobacteriota; Desulfobulbia; Desulfobulbales; Desulfobulbaceae.